RNAcentral lists this non-coding RNA (24 nucleotides) under Rattus norvegicus (Norway rat). The record is from RNAcentral. Lineage: Eukaryota; Metazoa; Chordata; Mammalia; Rodentia; Muridae.
GUUGAACUCAGAUGGGUCAAGGAC